AUCGUGUUGAAAAAUACAUAUCUUGUGCAUAUAUUCUUGUAUAUUUAGUUUCCAUAUUAGUAGAUCAAAUAUCAUUCAUUGGGGAUCAUUAUUUCUUACCUAAAGCUAGGCUAGAUUGAUUUGUAUCAAGUUGUAUAUAUAUCAAAUUGUGAAUAAAGAAAAUCACUUCAGCAAAAUAUAUUGUUUUCUCUUCUUUUUCAAGAUGGUAUUAGAGCUUGAUCAAUCCAAAUGUCCAAACACUAGCAAUAAGAGUAACAAUAUGAAUUCAUUGAAUCCAUAUUUUCUUCAACAUUCAGAUCAUCCCAGCCUCAUGCUUGUUCCAAUCAAGUUGAAUGGGAUCAAUUAUCCAACCUGGAGCAAAUCAAUGAUACAUGCUCUCACAGCCAAAAAAAUUAUCGUUUAUUGAUGGAUCAAUUGAACCCGCCCUCGGAAAUAGAUAAGCCAACAGAGUAUGGGUUGUGGAGUCAAUGCAAUAGUAUGAUUUGAUCAUGUCUUGAUCACUCGGUGGAAUCAGAUCUAGCUAGAGGAUUCAUCUAUGCCAAGACGGCUCACCAAGUACGGCAAAAUCUUAAAGAUCAAUUUCUCAAAAGAAUGCACCAACAAUAUAUCAGAUUUAAAAAUCAUUAGCUUCACUCUUACAAGGUGACAUGAACAUUUCUUCCUAUUUCACAAAAGUCAAAGGUCUUUGAGAUGAUUUAGAUACAUUUUGAACAUUUCCCACUUGCAAUCAAAUUAAAGCACACACCAAUCAAAUUGAAGAAGACUGUGUGAUGCAAUUUUUAAUGGGUCUUAAUGAUAUCCAUAAUGUUGUUCGAUCUAAUAUUCUCAUGAUGUCUCCCCUACCGAAUGUACACCAAGCAUAUUCACUUGUUAUUCAAGAGGAAACACAAAAACAAAUGACGUCGGAAUCAACAUAAAGUUUCUCUAUUGCGGCUGCAAUUCAAAGGCAUACCAAUAGUUUUUUCAACAAAUCCAAGGAUAAGCAUUGUGAGCAUUGCAAUCGAGAAGGACGCACAAUUGAAAAUUGCCGCACUCUAAAAUUUCAUUGCAAGCAUAGAAAUAGAUUGGAGACUACAUAGUGAUUUCAUAAUUGGUUUUAGCAUCCCACUAAGACGUCUCUUGGUGGGUUCUAUUUUGCUUGAUUCGGGUCACAACUUCCAAUAUCUCCUUCUGGGAUCAAGGAAACUUGUUGCUCAAGGGAAAUGAAAGAACAGACCUUGGAGAUAUAUUAUAUGCCUUGGUGGUGCUAAAAUAUAUUGAUGCCAAUGUAUCUUUAAUUCUUGCAAUAAGUCCAUUUUCAUCUUGAUCCAUAUAAUUUGUAUAUGAUGAUUAUUAGUGAAUGCUUAUUUAUUAAUGUUUUGGCACCAGUAUAAUGCUAGGAACCAAUUGUAAUUUUUUUUUAAAAAAAAUUAUGUUUGCCACGGUUCAACCGUGCCUAAUGUAUAAUUCCUCAUAUUGACUA
Molecule: long non-coding RNA, 1462 nt
Organism: Solanum pennellii
Lineage: Eukaryota; Viridiplantae; Streptophyta; Magnoliopsida; Solanales; Solanaceae
Exons: 3
Source: RefSeq, a predicted model, not a curated record